This is a non-coding RNA of Triticum aestivum (bread wheat), 134 nucleotides long. NCBI's taxonomy places the organism in Eukaryota, Viridiplantae, Streptophyta, Magnoliopsida, Poales, Poaceae. The record is from Rfam.
CAACUACUCCCUCUAUCCCAAAUUUCUUGUCUUAGAUUACCUAGAUACGGGUGUAUCUAAUACUAAAAUGUGACUUGAUACAUCCGUAUCUAGACAAAUCUAAGACAAGAAUUUUGGGACGGAGGGAGUACUUU